Molecule: non-coding RNA, 150 nt
Organism: Gossypium raimondii (Peruvian cotton)
Lineage: Eukaryota; Viridiplantae; Streptophyta; Magnoliopsida; Malvales; Malvaceae
Source: Rfam
UAUUUUUUUAACAUAUCAGGAAGUUGAAUUGGCAGUGAAGAAAGAAGUAGGAAGUUGAAAGCCAACAUUGCCUAUAACCAAAACUCAUAAAACCCAUAUCGUGCUUCUUUCUUCAUUGCCAAAUUGACUUCCUGAUAUGUUAAAAGAAAU